GAUGGAGAACGCAGCGAAAUGCGAUAAGUAAUGUGAAUUGCAGAAUUCAGUGAAUCAUCGAAUCUUUGAACGCACCUUGCGCCCUUUGGCCAUUCCGAAGGGCAUGCCUGUUUGAGUAUCAUGAACACCUCAACUCUCAUGGCUCGCCAUGAUGAGCUUGGACUUUGGGGGUCUUGCUGGCCUGUGGUCGGCUCCUCUCAAAUGGAUCAGCUUGCCAGUGUUUGGUGGCAUCACAGGUGUGAUAACUAUCUGCGCUUGUGGUUUUCCAUCAGAUAACCUUCAGUGAUGGAGGUUCGCUGGAGCUCAUAAACGUCUCCCCUAAGCGGGGACAGCCCUUUGAAUGUUUGAUCUCAAAUCAGGUAGGACUACCCGCUGAACUUAAGCAUAUCAAUAAGCGGAGGA
This 402-nucleotide unclassified non-coding RNA is filed under the name soil metagenome. RNAcentral describes it as "partial contains 5.8S ribosomal RNA, internal transcribed spacer 2, and large subunit ribosomal RNA". The stretch from base 1 to 121 matches the Rfam family "5.8S ribosomal RNA", at positions 35 to 154 of the family's 154-position model. The record is from RNAcentral.